This 465-nucleotide ribosomal RNA is filed under the name Vreelandella stevensii. Its description in RNAcentral is "partial 16S ribosomal RNA". It matches the Rfam family "Bacterial small subunit ribosomal RNA", at positions 338 to 795 of the family's 1533-position model. Lineage: Bacteria; Pseudomonadati; Pseudomonadota; Gammaproteobacteria; Oceanospirillales; Halomonadaceae. The record is from RNAcentral.
CCUACGGGUGGCAGCAGUGGGGAAUAUUGGACAAUGGGCGAAAGCCUGAUCCAGCCAUGCCGCGUGUGUGAAGAAGGCCUUCGGGUUGUAAAGCACUUUCAGUGGGGAAGAAAGCCUUGGGGCUAAUACCCUCGAGGAAGGACAUCACCCACAGAAGAAGCACCGGCUAACUCCGUGCCAGCAGCCGCGGUAAUACGGAGGGUGCGAGCGUUAAUCGGAAUUACUGGGCGUAAAGCGCGCGUAGGCGGUCUGAUAAGCCGGUUGUGAAAGCCCCGGGCUCAACCUGGGAACGGCAUCCGGACCUGUCAGGCUAGAGUGCAGGAGAGGAAGGUAGAAUUCCCGGUGUAGCGGUGAAAUGCGUAGAGAUCGGGAGGAAUACCAGUGGCGAAGGCGGCCUUCUGGACUGACACUGACGCUGAGGUGCGAAAGCGUGGGUAGCAAACAGGAUUAGAUACCCGGGUAGUC